UAGGGAAUAUUAGUAAUCUGGGAAGCCGGGAACUAGCAACGCCGCGUGUGCGAUGAAGGCCUUCGGGUUGUAAAGCACUUUUUAAGGGAAUGAGAAAGGACAGUACCCUUAGAAUAAGUCUCGGCUAACUACGUGCCAGCAGCCGCGGUAAGACGUAGGAGACGAGCGUUAUUCGGAUUUACUGGGCGUAAAGCGCGUGUAGGUGGUUUGGUAAGUAGGGCGUGAAAGCUCCUGGCUCAACUGGGAGAGGCCGUUCUAAACUGCCGAACUAGAGGAUGGUAGAAGGAGGUGGAAUUCCGGGUGUAGCGGUGGAAUGCGCAGAUAUCCGGAGGAACACCAGUGGCGAAAGCGGCCUCCUGGACCAUUCCUGACACUCAGACGCGAAAGCUAGGGUAGCAAACGG
Molecule: ribosomal RNA, 403 nt
Filed under: uncultured bacterium
Lineage: Bacteria
Description: bacterial SSU rRNA
Rfam family: Bacterial small subunit ribosomal RNA
Source: RNAcentral